GUGCUGGCUUUGGCAACACAUAUACUAAAAUUGGAAGGAUACAGAGAAAAUUAGCAUGGCCUCUGUGCAAGGAUGACAAGUAAAUUCAUGAAGUAUUUUUUU
Molecule: small nuclear RNA, 102 nt
Filed under: Myotis brandtii (Brandt's bat)
Lineage: Eukaryota; Metazoa; Chordata; Mammalia; Chiroptera; Vespertilionidae
Source: RNAcentral